RNAcentral lists this ribosomal RNA (448 nucleotides) under uncultured bacterium. RNAcentral describes it as "bacterial SSU rRNA". It matches the Rfam family "Bacterial small subunit ribosomal RNA", at positions 331 to 793 of the family's 1533-position model. The record is from RNAcentral.
CCAGACUCCUACGGGAGGCAGCAGUGGGGGAUAUUGCACAAUGGGGGAAACCCUGAUGCAGCGACGCCGCGUGAGUGAAGAAGUAUUUCGGUAUGUAAAGCUCUAUCGGCAGGGAAGAAAAAAAUGACAGUACCUGACUAAGAAGCCCCGGCUAACUACGUGCCAGCAGCCGCGGGAAUACGUAGGGGGCAAGCGUUAUCCGGAUUUACUGGGUGUAAAGGGAGCGUAGGCGGCCACGCAAGUCAGAAGUGAAAACCCGGGGCUCAACCCGGAGACUGCACUUGAAACUGGGUGUCUUGAGGGCAGGAGAGGAAAGUGGAAUUCCUAGUGUAGCGGUGAAAUGCGUAGAUAUUAGGAGGAACACCAGUGGCGAAGGCGACUUUCUGGACUGUACCUGACGCUGAGGCGCGAAAGCGUGGGUAGCGAACGGGAUUAGAUACCCUCGUAA